UCCGUGGGCCUAUUGAUUGAC
RNAcentral lists this non-coding RNA (21 nucleotides) under Arabidopsis thaliana (thale cress). The record is from RNAcentral. Lineage: Eukaryota; Viridiplantae; Streptophyta; Magnoliopsida; Brassicales; Brassicaceae.